GGGUUGUGAGGUUAAGCGACUAAGCGUACACGGUGGAUGCCCUGGCAGUCAGAGGCGAUGAAGGACGUGCUAAUCUGCGAAAAGCGUCGGUAAGGUGAUAUGAACCGUUAUAACCGGCGAUGUCCGAAUGGGGAAACCCAGUGCAAUUCGUUGCACUAUCGUUAACUGAAUACAUAGGUUAACGAGGCGAACCGGGGGAACUGAAACAUCUAAGUACCCCGAGGAAAAGAAAUCAACCGAGAUUCCCCCAGUAGCGGCGAGCGAACGGGGAGCAGCCCAGAGUCUGAAUCAGCUUGUGUGUUAGUGGAACGGUCUGGAAAGUCCGACGGUACAGGGUGAUAGUCCCGUACACCAAAAUGCACAGGUUGUGAACUCGAAGAGUAGGGCGGGACACGUGGUAUCCUGUCUGAAUAUGGGGGGACCAUCCUCCAAGGCUAAAUACUCCUGACUGACCGAUAGUGAACCAGUACCGUGAGGGAAAGGCGAAAAGAACCCCGGCGAGGGGAGUGAAAAAGAACCUGAAACCGUGUACGUACAAGCAGUGGGAGCACCUUCGGGUGUGACUGCGUACCUUUUGUAUAAUGGGUCAGCGACUUAUAUUCUGUAGCAAGGUUAACCGUAUAGGGGAGCCGCAGGGAAACCGAGUCUUAACUGGGCGUUAAGUUGCAGGGUAUAGACCCGAAACCCGGUGAUCUAGCCAUGGGCAGGUUGAAGGUUGGGUAACACUAACUGGAGGACCGAACCGACUAAUGUUGAAAAAUUAGCGGAUGACUUGUGGCUGGGGGUGAAAGGCCAAUCAAACCGGGAGAUAGCUGGUUCUCCCCGAAAGCUAUUUAGGUAGCGCCUCGUGAACUCAUCUUCGGGGGUAGAGCACUGUUUCGGCUAGGGGGUCAUCCCGACUUACCAACCCGAUGCAAACUACGAAUACCGAAGAAUGUUAUCACGGGAGACACACGGCGGGUGCUAACGUCCGUCGUGAAGAGGGAAACAACCCAGACCGCCAGCUAAGGUCCCAAAGUCAUGGUUAAGUGGGAAACGAUGUGGGAAGGCACAGACAGCCAGGAUGUUGGCUUAGAAGCAGCCAUCAUUUAAAGAAAGCGUAAUAGCUCACUGGUCGAGUCGGCCUGCGCGGAAGAUGUAACGGGGCUAAACCAUGCACCGAAGCUGCGGCAGCGACACUAUGUGUUGUUGGGUAGGGGAGCGUUCUGUAAGCCUGCGAAGGUGUGCUGUGAGGCAUGCUGGAGGUAUCAGAAGUGCGAAUGCUGACAUAAGUAACGAUAAAGCGGGUGAAAAGCCCGCUCGCCGGAAGACCAAGGGUUCCUGUCCAACGUUAAUCGGGGCA
Molecule: ribosomal RNA, 1342 nt
Filed under: Klebsiella pneumoniae
Lineage: Bacteria; Pseudomonadati; Pseudomonadota; Gammaproteobacteria; Enterobacterales; Enterobacteriaceae
Description: bacterial LSU rRNA
Rfam family: Bacterial large subunit ribosomal RNA
Source: RNAcentral